RNAcentral lists this long non-coding RNA (425 nucleotides) under Phoenix dactylifera (date palm). Its description in RNAcentral is "long non-coding RNA (PDAC_LNC006380)". Lineage: Eukaryota; Viridiplantae; Streptophyta; Magnoliopsida; Arecales; Arecaceae. The record is from RNAcentral.
GAGAGGUUAGAGAGGAGGAUUGGAGAAAAAGAAAGAGAAAGAGAGCAUAAAAGAUCAAAUGAUGAGGAGCCAUGGUCGCACGCCUCACGGCGGGGUCAUGGAAGGGAUGAGAGGAGAAGUGAUGCGGAAAGCCUACGGGCUAACCGAAUGGAGGAGCUAGAUCACCGGAGGCCUCGGAGGAGAGGAGGAAGAAUUGAAGCCCGGGGGAUAGAGAUUGAAAGGUGGAUAGAAGAAGAGGGACCUAGCCAUAGUGAAGAGGGGAGUGAACCCGAGGGAGAUCCAUUCCAUGACCAAAGGCCUAUAGGCCGGAGGAACUUCAUGGAAGGAAGAAGGAGGAAUGAAGACUAUGAUGAAGAUUAUGCUAGGGGCCCAAGACACCAAGAUAGAGGGCUAAGAAAACCGAAGAUUGACUUUCCCAAGUUCNN